This 1469-nucleotide ribosomal RNA is filed under the name uncultured organism. RNAcentral describes it as "SSU rRNA". It matches the Rfam family "Bacterial small subunit ribosomal RNA". The record is from RNAcentral.
GAACGCUGGCGGCGUGCCUAAUACAUGCAAGUAGAACGCUGAAGAGAGGAGCUUGCUCUUCUUGGAUGAGUUGCGAACGGGUGAGUAACGCGUAGGUAACCUGCCUUGUAGCGGGGGAUAACUAUUGGAAACGAUAGCUAAUACCGCAUAACAAUGGAUGACACAUGUCAUUUAUUUGAAAGGGGCAAAUGCUCCACUACAAGAUGGACCUGCGUUGUAUUAGCUAGUAGGUGAGGUAACGGCUCACCUAGGCGACGAUACAUAGCCGACCUGAGAGGGUGAUCGGCCACACUGGGACUGAGACACGGCCCAGACUCCUACGGGAGGCAGCAGUAGGGAAUCUUCGGCAAUGGGGGCAACCCUGACCGAGCAACGCCGCGUGAGUGAAGAAGGUUUUCGGAUCGUAAAGCUCUGUUGUAAGUCAAGAACGAGUGUGAGAGUGGAAAGUUCACACUGUGACGGUAGCUUACCAGAAAGGGACGGCUAACUACGUGCCAGCAGCCGCGGUAAUACGUAGGUCCCGAGCGUUGUCCGGAUUUAUUGGGCGUAAAGCGAGCGCAGGCGGUUUGAUAAGUCUGAAGUUAAAGGCUGUGGCUCAACCAUAGUUCGCUUUGGAAACUGUCAAACUUGAGUGCAGAAGGGGAGAGUGGAAUUCCAUGUGUAGCGGUGAAAUGCGUAGAUAUAUGGAGGAACACCGGUGGCGAAAGCGGCUCUCUGGUCUGUAACUGACGCUGAGGCUCGAAAGCGUGGGGAGCGAACAGGAUUAGAUACCCUGGUAGUCCACGCCGUAAACGAUGAGUGCUAGGUGUUGGAUCCUUUCCGGGAUUCAGUGCCGCAGCUAACGCAUUAAGCACUCCGCCUGGGGAGUACGACCGCAAGGUUGAGACUCAAAGGAAUUGACGGGGGCCCGCACAAGCGGUGGAGCAUGUGGUUUAAUUCGAAGCAACGCGAAGAACCUUACCAGGUCUUGACAUCCCGAUGCUAUUUCUAGAGAUAGAAAGUUACUUCGGUACAUCGGUGACAGGUGGUGCAUGGUUGUCGUCAGCUCGUGUCGUGAGAUGUUGGGUUAAGUCCCGCAACGAGCGCAACCCCUAUUGUUAGUUGCCAUCAUUCAGUUGGGCACUCUAGCGAGACUGCCGGUAAUAAACCGGAGGAAGGUGGGGAUGACGUCAAAUCAUCAUGCCCCUUAUGACCUGGGCUACACACGUGCUACAAUGGUUGGUACAACGAGUUGCGAGUCGGUGACGGCAAGCUAAUCUCUUAAAGCCAACCUCAGUUCGGAUUGUAGGCUGCAACUCGCCUACAUGAAGUCGGAAUCGCUAGUAAUCGCGGAUCAGCACGCCGCGGUGAAUACGUUCCCGGGCCUUGUACACACCGCCCGUCACACCACGAGAGUUUGUAACACCCGAAGUCGGUGAGGUAACCUUUUGGAGCCAGCCGCCUAAGGUGGGAUAGAUGAUUGGGGUGAA